GUUAAUAAGACAGAAAUAAUGUCCUGCAUUGAUAAGUAGGUCGCAUGCAUUUUGUGUCCCUGUAUACUUCGUGCUAACUGCGCUGCACACAUAACGCGAUGCGAUGCUAUCCAUGUUUGAAAGAUUACCAGGCCGCAAGUAAACACAAACAUACGUUUGGUAUUGUCCUAUCGCAUAGCGUUGCGUCGUGCUGCUUCGUAGUAUUUAUAGCUAAGCUUUGGUGAGUUAGUGAUAUCGUGAGUGGAUUCGCAUUCACCCAUGUUGUGCUUGAAACGGCAACUGGAUGAAUAUGACAUGAUGUACGUGCUGUUACAGUGAUAUAUCAAUCCAUCAUAAUAGAAAGUAAGUCCAACUAUGGCGUUUUUGUUCAUCAAUGAUCGUCGCGUGGUUCUUUUUGUGGAUUCUUUAGAAAAUAUUUAUCCCCUAUGUAGAUAAAUAAUCAUACCAAGAAUGUAAUAAUAGUUAGAGCAGUUUGCCUCCAUGUAUGUAGGUACCACAAUCAGUUUUCUGCGUCAUAUAGAUUCACAGGGAAUUAAAACAAUGUUUGCUAAAACUGCAGACUUAUAAACGGGCAUAAGGAAUAAUCGGGUCAUUCGCGUAGUGCCAUUCAAAAGUGCGACACAAUGAAGUCAUCAAUUCGCUUGGUUGUAGGUUUGUGCUUACUUUUAUUCGGAGUUAUUGCAUACGUUUACUUAAAUACUAUGCAAACGCCAGUAAAACCGAAUUUGUUGAUAGUGUCUUUGGAAAGAGUCAAGCCGAGAAUUCACAAUCACCAUCAAAAAUCAACAGAAUCAAACAAAAUGAUAGAAGAUAGAGCUGGAUUCAUAGUUGGAAAAUGUCCUAAUAAUCAGAAAAAAGUAUCUGGAUUUUGUAUAGAAAAUAAUGAUGAUAGUUCUAUGUAUUCCGUGGAUGAUAACGUAGAUAAGUGAUCUUUAAUUCACGUUUGUCUAUGUCUAGUAGGAUUGACAAGCCACCUACGUAUUCUUGAAAUGUGAAAAAAAUAUAAUGCUUAAUUACAAAGUGAAACAGUAGAGACAAAUAUAUCUAAAACGGCGAAUGUGUUUUCAAUUGGAUAUCAUCAGAUCAUGCUCUAGACGUUAUAGAAAUAUAAGAGUGAAUUCAUAGGUAA
This is a long non-coding RNA of Plodia interpunctella (Indianmeal moth), 1129 nucleotides long. RefSeq lists it as uncharacterized. The record is from RefSeq and is a predicted model, not a curated record. The transcript has 2 exons. Lineage: Eukaryota; Metazoa; Arthropoda; Insecta; Lepidoptera; Pyralidae.